RNAcentral lists this ribosomal RNA (496 nucleotides) under uncultured bacterium. Its description in RNAcentral is "partial 16S ribosomal RNA". It matches the Rfam family "Bacterial small subunit ribosomal RNA", at positions 28 to 506 of the family's 1533-position model. The record is from RNAcentral.
GAUGAACGCUGGCGGCGUGCCUAAUACAUGCAAGUCGAGCGAACAGACGAGGAGCUUGCUCCUCUGACGUUAGCGGCGGACGGGUGAGUAACACGUGGAUAACCUACCUAUAAGACUGGGAUAACUUCGGGAAACCGGAGCUAAUACCGGAUAAUAUAUUGGACCGCAUGGUUCAAUAGUGAAAGACGGUUUUGCUGUCACUUAUAGAUGGAUCCGCGCCGCAUUAGCUAGUUGGUAAGGUAACGGCUUACCAAGGCAACGAUGCGUAGCCGACCUGAGAGGGUGAUCGGCCACACUGGAACUGAGACACGGUCCAGACUCCUACGGGAGGCAGCAGUAGGGAAUCUUCCGCAAUGGGCGAAAGCUUGACGGAGCAACGCCGCGUGAGUGAUGAAGGUCUUCGGAUCGUAAAACUCUGUUAUUAGGGAAGAACAAAUGUGUAAGUAACUAUGCACGUCUUGACGGUACCGAAUCAGAAAGCCACGGCUAACUACGU